CGCAGCGAAAUGCGAUAAGUAAUGUGAAUUGCAGAAUUCAGUGAAUCAUCGAAUCUUUGAACGCAUCUUGCGCUCCUUGGUAUUCCGAGGAGCAUGCCUG
RNAcentral lists this ribosomal RNA (100 nucleotides) under Agaricus bisporus (cultivated mushroom). RNAcentral's name for it is "5.8S ribosomal RNA". It matches the Rfam family "5.8S ribosomal RNA", at positions 44 to 143 of the family's 154-position model. Rfam says of the family: 5.8S ribosomal RNA (5.8S rRNA) is a component of the large subunit of the eukaryotic ribosome. It is transcribed by RNA polymerase I as part of the 45S precursor that also contains 18S and 28S rRNA. RNAcentral also lists the same sequence under 8 other names. The record is from RNAcentral. Lineage: Eukaryota; Fungi; Basidiomycota; Agaricomycetes; Agaricales; Agaricaceae.